RNAcentral lists this ribosomal RNA (502 nucleotides) under uncultured bacterium. RNAcentral describes it as "bacterial SSU rRNA". It matches the Rfam family "Bacterial small subunit ribosomal RNA", at positions 791 to 1299 of the family's 1533-position model. The record is from RNAcentral.
UAGUCCACGCUGUAAACGAUGAUUACUAGAUGUUCGGAUUUCGGUCUGAGUGUCCAAGCGAAAGCGAUAAGUAAUCCACCUGGGGAGUACGUUCGCAAGAAUGAAACUCAAAGGAAUUGACGGGGGCCCGCACAAGCGGUGGAGCAUGUGGUUUAAUUCGAUGAUACGCGAGGAACCUUACCAGGGCUUAAAUGCAUAUUGACAGGUCUAGAGAUAGACUUUCCUUCGGGCAAUUUGCAAGGUGCUGCAUGGUUGUCGUCAGCUCGUGCCGUGAGGUGUCAGGUUAAGUCCUAUAACGAGCGCAACCCCUGUCGUUAGUUGCCAGCGAGUCAUGUCGGGGACUCUAACGAGACUGCCGGUGCAAACCGUGAGGAAGGUGGGGAUGACGUCAAAUCAUCACGGCCCUUACGUCCCGGGCCACACACGUGCUACAAUGGUAGGUACAGAGAGCAGCCACGAUGCAAGUCGGAGCGAAUCUACAAAACCUAUCACAGUUCGGAUC